AACGGAAAGGCCCUGCUUGCAGGGUACUCGAGUGGCGAACGGGUGAGUAACACGUGGGUGAUCUGCCCUGCACUUCGGGAUAAGCUUGGGAAACUGGGUCUAAUACCGGAUAGGAGCCAUCUUUAGUGUGGUGGUUGGAAAGUUUUUUCGGUGUAGGAUGAGCUCGCGGCCUAUCAGCUUGUUGGUGGGGUAAUGGCCUACCAAGGCGGCGACGGGUAGCCGGCCUGAGAGGGUGUACGGCCACAUUGGGACUGAGAUACGGCCCAGACUCCUACGGGAGGCAGCAGUGGGGAAUAUUGCACAAUGGGCGCAAGCCUGAUGCAGCGACGCCGCGUGGGGGAUGAAGGCCUUCGGGUUGUAAACUCCUUUCGCUAGGGACGAAGCUUUUUUGUGACGGUACCUAGAUAAGAAGCACCGGCUAACUACGUGCCAGCAGCCGCGGUAAUACGUAGGGUGCGAGCGUUGUCCGGAAUUACUGGGCGUAAAGGGCUCGUAGGUGGUUUGUCGCGUCGUCUGUGAAAUUCUGGGGCUUAACUCCGAGCGUGCAGGCGAUACGGGCAUAACUUGAGUGCUGUAGGGGUAACUGGAAUUCCUGGUGUAGCGGUGAAAUGCGCAGAUAUCAGGAGGAACACCGAUGGCGAAGGCAGGUUACUGGGCAGUUACUGACGCUGAGGAGCGAAAGCAUGGGUAGCGAACAGGAUUAGAUACCCUGGU
Molecule: ribosomal RNA, 714 nt
Filed under: uncultured Corynebacterium sp.
Lineage: Bacteria; Bacillati; Actinomycetota; Actinomycetes; Mycobacteriales; Corynebacteriaceae
Description: bacterial SSU rRNA
Rfam family: Bacterial small subunit ribosomal RNA
Source: RNAcentral